UACGUAGGGUGCAAGCGUUGUCCGGAAUUAUUGGGCGUAGAGAGCUCGUAGGCGGUCUGUCGCGUCUGCUGUGAAAACUCAGGGCUUAACCCUGAGCUUGCAGUGGGUACGGGCAGACUAGAGUGCGGUAGGGGGAGACUGGAAUUCCUGGUGUAGCGGUGAAAUGCGCAGAUAUCAGGAGGAACACCGGUGGGCGAAGGCGGGUCUCUGGGCCGUAACUGACGCUGGAGGAGCGGAAAGCAUCGGGGGAGCGAACAG
Molecule: ribosomal RNA, 258 nt
Filed under: uncultured bacterium
Lineage: Bacteria
Description: partial 16S ribosomal RNA
Rfam family: Bacterial small subunit ribosomal RNA
Source: RNAcentral